CCUCGUUUUUUCUGAUCCACUCGAAACCCAUAUUCGCCGUCGAAGAUCACACAGUGUCUCGUCGAUUGGGGAUUGAAGGCUCAAGGCUCGAAAUUUGUACGGAUUGUACAAGCGAGACGUCGACGUUGAAGACCGAUACGUCGACGCUUUGAUCGUUCUUGCCGCAUUGCGUGUUUCUCAGCGAUUGGCGGCGGCGCGGUGGCGAACUCGUCGGAGCCGGACGGAGGAUGAGAAUCGGAGGAUGAACGAUGCCGGUACUGCGUGGAAGGGGCCGUGGUGCAGCUAAAAAGCAGGAGGUUACGAAUCCGAUCGACGCCGGAGAGGCCAUUGCCACCAGAACAAGGCGAAGGCGAGCGGCGGCGGCGGCGGCACUGCCGAAUAAUAACAACAACAACAACAACAACAAUCAGGUGAAGGAGGAAAAGAAUCGGAAGGCAGCGGCUGCGGCUGCGGCCGGUGAGGAGAAGAAGGUAGUCGUUAAGGCGGAGAAAAAGAGGGUCG
This 501-nucleotide long non-coding RNA is filed under the name Rosa chinensis. RNAcentral's name for it is "sRNA RchiOBHm_Chr2g0140221". Lineage: Eukaryota; Viridiplantae; Streptophyta; Magnoliopsida; Rosales; Rosaceae. The record is from RNAcentral.